RNAcentral lists this ribosomal RNA (461 nucleotides) under Burkholderia sp. SCN3723. Its description in RNAcentral is "bacterial SSU rRNA". It matches the Rfam family "Bacterial small subunit ribosomal RNA", at positions 125 to 579 of the family's 1533-position model. The record is from RNAcentral. Lineage: Bacteria; Pseudomonadati; Pseudomonadota; Betaproteobacteria; Burkholderiales; Burkholderiaceae.
CGUGUCCUGUAGUGGGGGAUAGCCCGGCGAAAGCCGGAUUAAUACCGCAUACGCUCUGCGGAGGAAAGCGGGGGAUCCUUCGGGACCUCGCGCUACAGGGGCGGCCGAUGGCAGAUUAGCUAGUUGGUGGGGUAAAGGCCUACCAAGGCGACGAUCUGUAGCUGGUCUGAGAGGACGACCAGCCACACUGGGACUGAGACACGGCCCAGACUCCUACGGGAGGCAGCAGUGGGGAAUUUUGGACAAUGGGCGCAAGCCUGAUCCAGCAAUGCCGCGUGUGUGAAGAAGGCCUUCGGGUUGUAAAGCACUUUUGUCCGGAAAGAAAACCUCGUGGUUAAUACCCGUGGGGGAUGACGGUACCGGAAGAAUAAGCACCGGCUAACUACGUGCCAGCAGCCGCGGUAAUACGUAGGGUGCAAGCGUUAAUCGGAAUUACUGGGCGUAAAGCGUGCGCAGGCGGU